CAGAGCCGCGGGAAUACAGAGGGUGCGAGCGUUAAUCGGAUUUACUGGGCGUAAAGCGUGCGUAGGCGGCUUCUUAAGUCGGAUGUGAAAUCCCUGAGCUUAACUUAGGAAUUGCAUUCGAUACUGGGAAGCUAGAGUAUGGGAGAGGAUGGUAGAAUUCCAGGUGUAGCGGUGAAAUGCGUAGAGAUCUGGAGGAAUACCGAUGGCGAAGGCAGCCAUCUGGCCUAAUACUGACGCUGAGGUACGAAAGCAUGGGGAGCAAACAGGAUUAGAUACCCCUGUAGUCCCUGUCUCUUAUACA
This 301-nucleotide ribosomal RNA is filed under the name uncultured bacterium. RNAcentral describes it as "partial 16S ribosomal RNA". It matches the Rfam family "Bacterial small subunit ribosomal RNA", at positions 509 to 808 of the family's 1533-position model. The record is from RNAcentral.